UACAGAGGGUGCAAGCGUUAAUCGGAAUUAUUGGGCGUAAAGCGCAUGUAGGUGGUUUAAUAAGUUUGAUGUGAAAGCCCUGGGCUUAACCUGGGAAUUGCGUUGAAUACUGUUAAGCUAGAGUCGGACAGAGGGCGGUGGAAUUUCCGGUGUAGCGGUGAAAUGCGUAGAGAUCGGAAAGAACAUCGGUGGCGAAGGCGGCCGCCUGGGUCCAGACUGACACUGAGGUGCGAAAGCGUGGGGAGCAAACAGG
Molecule: ribosomal RNA, 253 nt
Filed under: uncultured bacterium
Lineage: Bacteria
Description: partial 16S ribosomal RNA
Rfam family: Bacterial small subunit ribosomal RNA
Source: RNAcentral